UUCAAGAGCUGAGGAAAUUGGAGUGAUGAAGUAGUCCACCAUACCAUCUUACUACAGCCUGAGGGCCUGACAGCUCUUUGAGAUGCAUUCAUUGUGCAAGGAGGGCAAAGACCUUGUGAUACAAUCUCUGCAAUCAGAGGGCAAACCUGUCCCUUCCAGUGAGGCCCUGUAGCAGCUCUGUGUAGCCUCCUGGCAUGUGCCCUUUAAUGGAACGUCUCCUUUUGUCUUCAGUAAAUCUGAUAGCAAUCAGGCAGCACACAGGUGAGGUCAUGUUCCUGCUAUGAGGAAAGAUUGCUGUUAGCUACUGGGAUACACUUCUGAACAGACAAUUUUCUUCAGUUUCUUAACUGCCUUUUUACAAUGGAAGUGCAAACUGUUACUAAUAAACCUGAUAGUUUA
This is a long non-coding RNA of Lepidothrix coronata (blue-crowned manakin), 399 nucleotides long. RefSeq lists it as uncharacterized. NCBI's taxonomy places the organism in Eukaryota, Metazoa, Chordata, Aves, Passeriformes, Pipridae. The transcript has 2 exons. The record is from RefSeq and is a predicted model, not a curated record.